RNAcentral lists this ribosomal RNA (269 nucleotides) under uncultured prokaryote. Its description in RNAcentral is "partial 16S ribosomal RNA". It matches the Rfam family "Bacterial small subunit ribosomal RNA", at positions 524 to 792 of the family's 1533-position model. The record is from RNAcentral.
UACGGAGGGUGCAAGCAUUAAUCGGAUUUAUUGGGCGUAAAGGGCGCGUAGGCGGGAGUACAAGUCAGAUGUGAAAUCCCGAUGCUCAACAUCGGAACUGCAUUUGAAACUGUAUUUCUAGAGGGUAGGCGGAGAAAAUGGAAUUCCACGUGUAGCGGUGAAAUGCGUAGAUAUGUGGAAGAACACCAGUGGCGAAGGCGAUUUUCUAGCUUAUUCCUGACGCUAAGGCGCGAAAGCAAGGGGAGCGAACAGGAUUAGAUACCCCUGUA